CCCUCCCCUCGGCCUUGGUGGGUUGAUGAAGGCUGGAAAGUUGAAGUUAUGAGGAUUUAAUUGUCUGUUUUUAUUUUGAAGAUUUACCUUAUUAACUGGGAAGAACUUGGAGAACUCUCUAAUUUUGAGAAUGCAAAAUCAAAAAGAAAGUCAAUCUGGAGCUCUGUAUCUGAAAACAAAGGAUUUGAAAGGAAAACAGUGAAUGACACAAUUUGGUGG
Manis javanica (Malayan pangolin) is the source of this 219-nucleotide non-coding RNA. Lineage: Eukaryota; Metazoa; Chordata; Mammalia; Pholidota; Manidae. The record is from RefSeq and is a predicted model, not a curated record.